CCAAUAGCGUAUAUUAAAGUUGUUGCAGUUAAAAAGCUCGUAGUUGAAUUUCGGGAUCAAUUAAUUGGUCGUGCCUCUGGUACGUACUGAUUUUAUUGGUUUCUCCCUUCUGACGAACCAUGAUGUCAUUAAUUUGGUGUCGUGGAGAAUCAGGACUGUUACUUUGAAAAAAUUAGAGUGUUUAAAGCAAGCUAACGCCUGAAUACAUUAGCAUGGAAUAAUGAAAUAGGACGUUUGACCCUAUUUUGUUGGUUUCUAGGAUCGACGUAAUGAUUAAUAGGGAUAGUUGGGGGCAUUAGUAUUCAAUUGUCAGAGGUGAAAUUCUUGGAUUUAUUGAAGACUAACUACUGCGAAAGCAUUUGCCAAGGAUGUUUUCAUUAAUCAAGAACGAAAGUUAGGGGAUCGAAGACGAUCAGAUACCGUCGUAGUCUUAACCAUAAACUAUGCCGACUAGGGAUCGGAUGAUGUUAAUUUUUUAAUGGCUCAUUCGGCGCCUUACG
This 500-nucleotide ribosomal RNA is filed under the name uncultured Glomeromycotina. RNAcentral's name for it is "partial small subunit ribosomal RNA". It matches the Rfam family "Eukaryotic small subunit ribosomal RNA", at positions 591 to 1092 of the family's 1831-position model. The record is from RNAcentral. Lineage: Eukaryota; Fungi; Glomeromycota.